UAAACCAGAGGAACUACGAA
This 20-nucleotide non-coding RNA is filed under the name Arabidopsis thaliana (thale cress). The record is from RNAcentral. Lineage: Eukaryota; Viridiplantae; Streptophyta; Magnoliopsida; Brassicales; Brassicaceae.